UCCACAACUUUCGAGCUGCCGCAGCGUCGAUCAGCGUCGUGUUCAACUUGCGCCAUGUUUCUCGCCCCGCCAGUGCCAUUUUAAUUCCAACUCACUUCGCAAUCCUUCAUGGUCGUCGCGCGGCCGCCGCCGCUCCCACGCAUGUAUGUGGCAGAGGGACGGCGUACGGCAAGGCGAAAGAGAGCCGUGUUCGCGAAAAUGGUGCAUAACCGCCGCCGCUACACGUGAAGAAGGGGCAGGUGCGUUGCCGUCACGCGCGCGCCGAACGUCGGGUCGGCCGCUGGCCCGCACUGCGUUCUUCCACCGCCGCUCGCCGCCACGGUAACGGGCCGGCCCGGAAGGAGACAUCCUCGUCUCGCCACUGCAGCCCACCCAAUUCAAUCGGCCCUCCCGACCCACAUGGACGCCGUACGCCGACAACUGGGCUUGGAAGACAGCGUCGUCGGAGGCGACAUGGGCUCCGACCGGGGUCGCAGUGGCUCUGGCUUCCCGCUGGACAUGAACAUGUACGCGACGCGCAAGACCUUGGCGCAGGGCAUGCUCGACCUGGCACUGCUGUCCUCCAACGCCUGCCAGCUGCGGCGCGUGCUGUCUGCGCCACCGGGACAGCGAUACCACGGCACGUGCGUCGCCUUCCUCGCGCUCUCCGUCUCCUUCCAGCUGCUGGCGGGCCUUCUGCUGGUGCUGCUUGGCCGAUGGAACAUCAACUGUCCCUGGGAGCAGCGCAAGGCCGACCUGGUGAACAACGUGGUCGUGCUGCUCACAUUUCUCAUCAGCGUCGUCAACGUGCUGCUCUCGGCGUUUGCGCCGGACUCGCUGUUGGGUGACCACGGCCUGAACCACCACCAGCAGCACACAACCGGAGAAUGGGCAGCGCCGCGCCAUUGACUGCGUGGCCGGGAGUAUAGACGACGUUAAUUGCAGCCCUUUGGCGGCUCUGCCGUGUUUGGGGCAGUCCGGAGGCACCGUACCCGCCGGCCUUGCCCGAGCCGGGUUUCGUGACGCCGUCCGGCCCGGGCGGCAAGCGCGUCCGCUGCAUGGACAUGAACCUGUACGCCACCAAGAAGAGCAUC
Molecule: RNA transcript, 1073 nt
Organism: Dermacentor silvarum
Lineage: Eukaryota; Metazoa; Arthropoda; Arachnida; Ixodida; Ixodidae
Gene name: ninjurin-2
Exons: 4
Source: RefSeq, a predicted model, not a curated record